UACGGAGGUCCCAAGCGUUGUUCGGAUUCAUUGGGCGUAAAGGGUGCGUAGGUGGCGUCGUAAGUCGGGUGUGAAAUCUCGGGGCUUAACUCCGAAACUGCAUUCGAUACUGCGGUGCUUGAGGACUGGAGAGGAGACUGGAAUUUACGGUGUAGCAGUGAAAUGCGUAGAGAUCGUAAGGAAGACCAGUGGCGAAGGCGGGUCUCUGGAAAGUUCCUGACACUGAGGCACGAAGGCCAGGGGAGCAAACGGG
This 253-nucleotide ribosomal RNA is filed under the name uncultured bacterium. RNAcentral's name for it is "partial 16S ribosomal RNA". It matches the Rfam family "Bacterial small subunit ribosomal RNA", at positions 524 to 776 of the family's 1533-position model. The record is from RNAcentral.